CGGCCGCGGUAUCUUAACCGUGCAAAGGUAGCGUAAUCACUUGUCUUUUAAAUGAAGACCCGUAUGAAAGGCAUCACGAGAGUUUAACUGUCUCUACUUUCUAAUCAAUGAAAUUGAUCUCUCCGUGCAGAGGCGGAGAUAAAAACAUUAGACGAGAAGACCCUAUGGAGCUUCAAACACUUAAAUUAAUUAUGUAAAAUAUAAUAUUCCAAGGAUAUAAAUAAAUAAUAUAAUAUUUCUAAUUUAAUAUGUUUUUGGUUGGGGUGACCAAGGAGAAAAACAAAUCCUCCUGAUCGAUUGAGUAUUCGAUACAUAAAAAAUCAGAGAGAGUAUUCUGAAUGAUAAUAC
RNAcentral lists this ribosomal RNA (348 nucleotides) under Chiloscyllium sp. GP0072. Its description in RNAcentral is "partial 16S ribosomal RNA". It matches the Rfam family "Bacterial large subunit ribosomal RNA", at positions 1928 to 2366 of the family's 2925-position model. Lineage: Eukaryota; Metazoa; Chordata; Chondrichthyes; Orectolobiformes; Hemiscylliidae. The record is from RNAcentral.